CCCUUAGAUGUUCUGGGCUGCACGCGCGCUACACUGAAGCGUUCAACGAGUAUUCACCUUGCCCGGGAGGGUUGGGUAAUCUUUUGAAAACGCUUCGUGAUGGGGAUAGAUUAUUGCAAUUAUUAAUCUUCAACGAGGAAUUCCUAGUAAGCGCGAGUCAUCAGCUCGUGCUGAUUACGUCCCUGCCCUUUGUACACACCGCCCGUCGCACCUACCGAUUGAAUGGUCCGGUGAAGGCUUCGGAGGCGGCUUUCUCAAUGUUUAUUCGGCGAGACUGCUGCCAAAGUUGAAUGAACCUUACCAUUUAGAGGAAGGUGAAGUCGUAACA
RNAcentral lists this ribosomal RNA (328 nucleotides) under uncultured eukaryote. Its description in RNAcentral is "partial 18S ribosomal RNA". It matches the Rfam family "Eukaryotic small subunit ribosomal RNA", at positions 1470 to 1796 of the family's 1831-position model. The record is from RNAcentral.